GGUCGAUCAGACUAUAACCCUUUUGCUCGACCUUCCUUCUUCCUCCCCACUUCACUCAGCAACCCAGAAAAACCAGAGACCCAUUUCUCUCAGCCAAAACCCUCGCCUCCACCACCUUCUCCCCACCCUAUCUCCCUCAUUUCUCAACCAUUUCAGCCCAUUUUUUUUUUAAAAUCCUCCAUUUUCGAUACUUAAUAACAUACACCUAAAAAGUUCUGAUUUUUUAGCCUCUAAAAGUGUCAUCCGAACCCAAAUAGUAAACUUUGGGUGUGAAAUCCGGCCACCCAUUUUUGUUGAGAAAUUGUUCAAUCUCAACCUCGUUUAAGUGUCGGGAUUUUUUACGGUGGUCGUCGGAUUGCGGUUAUUAGGGGUUCGGCAUAAUUUUGUGUGUAGCGUAUUUGGGCUUGCAAUUAUAGACAUGGCGAACUCAGAAUCAGGAUCUGAUUCGGGAGCAGAAAAUGAGUGUCCAACCACAAUACCUACACGAGGGCCGACGCAAAUGAAUGAAAUAUCCAAACUAAUGGAUCAGGGCAAAAGAGUGGCCCUCGAAGUUAAUGAUA
Cannabis sativa is the source of this 560-nucleotide long non-coding RNA. RefSeq lists it as uncharacterized. The record is from RefSeq and is a predicted model, not a curated record. NCBI's taxonomy places the organism in Eukaryota, Viridiplantae, Streptophyta, Magnoliopsida, Rosales, Cannabaceae. The transcript is spliced from 4 exons.